AUUAGCUAGUUGGUGGGGUAGAAGCCUACCAAGGCGAUGAUGCGUAGCCGGACUGAGAGGUCGAACGGCCACAUUGGGACUGAGACACGGCCCAAACUCCUACGGGAGGCAGCAGUAGGGAAUUUUCGGCAAUGGGGGAAACCCUGACCGAGCAACGCCGCGUGAAUGAAGAAGUAUUUCGGUAUGUAAAGUUCUUUUAUUGAGGAAGAAUGUCUAGGUUAGGAAAUGAACUUAGAGUGACGGUACUCAAUGAAUAAGCCCCGGCUAACUAUGUGCCAGCAGCCGCGGUAAUACAUAGGGGGCAAGCGUUAUCCGGAAUUAUUGGGCGUAAAGGGUGCGUAGGCGGUCUGUUAAGUCUAAGGUGUAAGUGCAAGGCUCAACCUUGUGAUGCUUUAGAAACUGGUGGACUAGAGAUAGAUAGAGGCAAGUGGAAUUCCAUGUGUAGCGGUAAAAUGCGUAAAUAUAUGGAGGAACACCAGUGGCGAAGGCGGCUUGCUGGGUCUAUACUGACGCUGAGGCACGAAAGCGUGGGGAGCAAACAGGAUUAGAUACCCUGGUAGUCCACGCCGUAAAC
RNAcentral lists this ribosomal RNA (574 nucleotides) under uncultured bacterium. Its description in RNAcentral is "bacterial SSU rRNA". It matches the Rfam family "Bacterial small subunit ribosomal RNA", at positions 240 to 807 of the family's 1533-position model. The record is from RNAcentral.